RNAcentral lists this long non-coding RNA (602 nucleotides) under Numida meleagris (helmeted guineafowl). RNAcentral's name for it is "lncRNA (ENSNMEG00000020084.1)". Lineage: Eukaryota; Metazoa; Chordata; Aves; Galliformes; Numididae. The record is from RNAcentral.
AUUCUGUCACAAAAUUGUCUCUUCACAGCUGUAAAGUUUAAUUUGCAUACAAAAUCUUUUUUUAAUUAUCUGCAUAGCCACAUUCUUAGACCUUAGAUUCUACCUUCUUGUGUUUUAAAGAAAUGGUAGUCAACAAAUACAUUUUUCUUUCCCUAGCUGGAAGACCUAGCCAUUUACAGGCUGCCAGGAUGUGACAAGUGAUUCCUCAGAGCACUCCCAAGGUUACAACAGCAUUGUUUUGAGGAUAUGUAGUUUACAGAAAAAGACAUCGACUUUUCUUCACCCAUCAGAUAACAGUCCCCAGCAACCUUCAGUGUACUCAUUCUCAUGUGUCUCUCUCAUCAUCUGGACCUCAACAUCUUUUUGUCUAGUUUGGUAUUAAGUCAUUGUACUCUGCUGUGGAGCGUUAUCGCUGCCUGUUCUGCAUUUCUGUUGGAUAGUGCUGAAUUUAUUGUCAUAAGAUUCUCUAUUUCUCUGUAUCCCUCUAUUUUUUCCCUUGUUCUUUAUGUAUUUGAUAUUUGAAAAUACUUGUAGCACAAAUGCAGAAGCAUUCAAAAGAACAAAAAAGAAAAAAGCCUAAUUAUUUCAUUUUUAGUAAAGAC